This 490-nucleotide ribosomal RNA is filed under the name uncultured bacterium. RNAcentral's name for it is "partial 16S ribosomal RNA". It matches the Rfam family "Bacterial small subunit ribosomal RNA", at positions 30 to 507 of the family's 1533-position model. The record is from RNAcentral.
AUUGAACGCUGGCGGCAGGCCUAACACAUGCAAGUCGAACGGUAACAGGAAGCAGCUUGCUGCUUUGCUGACGAGUGGCGGACGGGUGAGUAAUGUCUGGGAAACUGCCCGAUGGAGGGGGAUAACUACUGGAAACGGUAGCUAAUACCGCAUAACGUCGCAAGACCAAAGAGGGGGACCUUAGGGCCUCUUGCCAUCGGAUGUGCCCAGAUGGGAUUAGCUAGUAGGUGGGGUAACGGCUCACCUAGGCGACGAUCCCUAGCUGGUCUGAGAGGAUGACCAGCCACACUGGAACUGAGACACGGUCCAGACUCCUACGGGAGGGAGCAGUGGGGAAUAUUGCACAAUGGGCGCAAGCCUGAUGCAGCCAUGCCGCGUGUAUGAAGAAGGCCUUCGGGUUGUAAAGUACUUUCAGCGGGGAGGAAGGGAGUAAAGUUAAUACCUUUGCUCAUUGACGUUACCCGCAGAAGAAGCACCGGCUAACUCCGUG